GACGAACGCUGGCGGCGCGCCUAACACAUGCAAGUCGAACGAGAGAUGAGGAGCUUGCUCUUCAAAUCGAGUGGCGAACGGGUGAGUAACGCGUGAGGAACCUGCCUCAAAGAGGGGGACAACAGUUGGAAACGACUGCUAAUACCGCAUAAGCCCACAGCUCGGCAUCGAGCAGAGGGAAAAGGAGCAAUCCGCUUUGAGAUGGCCUCGCGUCCGAUUAGCUAGUUGGUGGGGUAAUGGCCCACCAAGGCGACGAUCGGUAGCCGGACUGAGAGGUUGAACGGCCACAUUGGGACUGAGACACGGCCCAGACUCCUACGGGAGGCAGCAGUGGGGAAUAUUGCACAAUGGGGGAAACCCUGAUGCAGCGACGCCGCGUGGAGGAAGAAGGUCUUCGGAUUGGUAAAACUCCUGUUGUUGAGGAAGAUAAUGACGGUACUCAACAAGGAAGUGACGGCUAACUACGUG
RNAcentral lists this ribosomal RNA (468 nucleotides) under uncultured bacterium. Its description in RNAcentral is "bacterial SSU rRNA". It matches the Rfam family "Bacterial small subunit ribosomal RNA", at positions 28 to 507 of the family's 1533-position model. The record is from RNAcentral.